This 5271-nucleotide long non-coding RNA is filed under the name Salvia miltiorrhiza (redroot sage). RNAcentral's name for it is "long non-coding RNA (SMIL_LNC010566)". Lineage: Eukaryota; Viridiplantae; Streptophyta; Magnoliopsida; Lamiales; Lamiaceae. The record is from RNAcentral.
CUCCUCCAGCUUCUCCGCCGCCGCUUGCAACCCGCAACCCCUCUGCCGGCCGAACCUCGUCCAGCUUCUCCGCCUCCGCCUGUGCUUUCCCCGCUCCCAAACUAUCCAACUGAAAUUGGUCAGGCGCUCAGGCCUUCUUUUCCUUUCACCUCAUACCAGGUCAGUUGCCUUUGCUAUCUCUCUCUUUGUUGACAUUGGUUUUUCAUUAAAUUUUUUUCAAGUUUUUUGGUCUAGCUGUGGUACUUGGCAAGAAAUUUUCCAUAAAUUUAUUUUGGCCACAGAGUUUUGAUUAACUCUGCUGCUUGAACAAGCUUUUUUGGUGUAGUUGUGGUCUUUACUUUCUUAUUAUGAAUCUGCAUUGAUGAGGAGUCGACUGCUUCGUGAUAAUCAUUUCAAUUCUAGAUUUCUAAUAAUUUCGUGUUCAGCUUUGUAAGUAUCUGUAAUAUCGCCUAGUUUGUUAGUGUUGAGCUGCUCACAUGAGAGAUUCUUCCUUAAUUUCUUGCUCGUGCUUUAUGUUGAAAUCGUUAGAUUUAUUUCAUGUAGAGAAAGAAAUUUUGCUUAUGUUCAUCAUCAUUACACUUGACAUGCAGCAAGGUGCACUAUUUGUUUCUUUAGAGUUAUUAACUUCUUAUCUUAGACUCAUUAUUUUGCAAUGAUGUAGUUUCUAGCUAACUUUUUUUAACUAGACUCCUGAGUGAUAUUAGAUUGUGUAAGGAUGGAAUCUUAAUGUGAUAUUAGGUGCUUAGUCGAAAAGCUGCUUGCUGAUGCACUUAAUGUGAAUUAGGCUAUAAUAUUACUGUGGUUAAUUUCCUGCUGCAGUGACUGUGGUAAUCACAUUUAGAUUUUCACUUGCGUGUGUUGCAAGAACAAGUUUUUGGUGACAUUAUUUGCUUAAGUGACUAUGUCAAUUGUGUUAACUUUAAUGCUUGGUUCAGUCAAAUUCAUAAUAAAUGGAAUAAUAUAAAUAUUUUUUUUAGACAUGUUCAAAUAAAUGAUACUUGUAUUUUCAUUACAGAUCAACUUAUAGUUGUGCAGCCGUCAGACUUUGUUGCCAUAUUCACUUGAUUUUGCUGAAAGGUUAGUCUUUCGCAAUUUUAUUUAGGAUUAUAUAUGUUGAUUGAAUUUGUAUAAGCAUGAUUAUGUGUUUGUAUUAUCGCCGGUGGGGGAGAGGCGAAGAGCAUGAUUAGAUAAGCAUGUAUCUAGGUAGUAAAUGGAGAUUAGGUUGGGAGAUGGUUGUGUUCCAUCUCAUUUUGUUGCUGUGGUGAUGGCUUGGAGCCGCGUAUAUGUUAUUUGUUUGAAUUUGUGUACUUUAGGCAUUUGUUCGAUAACUUGGUAGAAAAUAAAAAUAGGGAAUGUUUUUUUUAUCGACCCCUAGUAGAUUAUAUAAAUUAUGACUUUAUAUUCUUUAGGUAUUUGUUGAAAUGAGUGAAAAUCGUGAGUGGAUGUAUAGACGGUUUUUACCCGACGGAGCUUUCAACCCAGCAUUCGUUAGAGGUCUUCAAGAUUCAUUGAUUUUUGCUAACAGUAGAGAAGAUUUAAUGGAUGGACAUAAAAUUAGAUGUCCGUGCAGAAGAUGUGAUAAUAUAAAAUUUCAUACAUCGCGGAAUGUCCAAUACCAUAUUUCAAAGAAUGGGUUUGUGUUGAAUUAUCACAUUUGGAGGUUUCAUGGUGAAUUAGAAAUGAUGGCAACCGAAUAUAAUCAAUUUGAUGCUGCUGAUGAUGAUGACAAUGAAGAUGAUCAAAGCACAUACCACAAUAUGGUGAUAGACGUUGCUGCUUCACAAUUCAAUAUUGAACAGCCGCCUAAUCCUGAAGCACAACAAUUAUAUGAUAUGUUGAGUGCUGCAGAUAGGGAGUUAUGGCCUGGUUGCAACACUCAUUCACAAUUAUCUUUUGUGGCUCGUCUAAUGUGUUUGAAGGCAGAGGGGAACAUGUCCGAGAGAUGUUUUGACCAAUGGCUUGAAUUGAUAAAAGAAAUCCUUCCCGAACACAAUUUAGCUCCCAAUAACUUCUACAGCACAAAGAAGUUAUUAAGUGGAAUGGGGUUGCCAGUUGAGAAGAUUGACUGUUGCCGUAAUAAUUGCAUGCUUUUCUGGGGAGAGGAUAGCGAGGAUAUUGAGUGUAAGCAUUGCAACGAGCCACGUUACCAACAAAGUGAUACAUCUUCUGCGAGUAGUUCAAGGACUCUAGUAGCAGUAAAGAAAAUGUUCUAUUUUCCUUUAACUCCUCGAUUGCAGAGAUUGUAUGCAUCCAAAGCUACAGCUGCAGAUAUGCGUUGGCACGCAUCUUCAGUGGAUGAUGGAAUAAUGCGUCAUCCUGCAGACUCGCCUGCUUGGAAGCAUUUGAGUCAAAAGUUUCCAUCUUUUGCCGAAGAGAGUCGAAAUGUCAGAUUAGGAUUAUCGACUGAUGGUUUCCAACCUUUUGGUCAAUCAGGGCAACAAUAUUCUUCAUGGCCCGUGAUUGUUACACCAUACAACUUGCCUCCAUGGAUGUGUAUGAAGGAACAAUAUAUGUUCCUCACAGUGUUAGUUCCCGGGCCGCGCAAUCCUAAGGAAAAAUUAGAUGUUUUUUUGCAGCCUCUUAUAUCUGAGUUGAUACAGUUGUGGAAUGUGGGCGCGCCUACAUACGACGUGUCAAUGAAGCAGAACUUUCAGAUGCGAGCAGCUUUGUUAUGGACAGUUAGUGAUUUUUCGGCCUACUCCAUGUUGUCAGGAUGGAGUACUGCUGGCAGACUUGCUUGUCCACAUUGUAUGACAGAAACUGACUCCUUCACCUUGUCUCAUAGUGCUAAACAAUCAUGGUUCGACAAUCAUCGAAAGUUUUUGCCUAUGAACCAUUCCUUUCGAAGAGAUCGAAAAAACUUUUUGAAAAAUAAAAUUAUUACUGCAGUAGCACCUCAAGUGAGAUCGGGGGAAGAAAUAUUGUUUGAUAUAGAUAUGAUGGGAUUCGUCAAAGUAACAGAGGUGAACAGUGAAACAAUCAAUAAAGCAGCUGCUCGUGGUGUUGGCACAGGAUGGAAGAAGCGCAGUAUAUUUUGGGAUUUGCCUUAUUGGAAAUUCCUAUUGAUUCGUCAUAACCUUGAUGUCAUGCACGUGGAGAAGAAUGUCUUUGAUAAUGUGUUCAAUACAGUUUUGAACGUACCAGGAAGGACAAAGGAUACAAGCAAAUCUAGAGAAGAACUAAACACAUAUUGCUCAAGACCAGCACUUGAAAAGAAUGUUGAGACAAACAAGUAUCCAAAAGCUUGUUACAUGCUUGACACUAAAGAGAAGAAAGUAUUGUUUGAAUGGGUCAAAACUUUACGAUUCCCUGAUGGUUAUGUGUCAAAUAUGGGAAGAUGUGUCGACAUGAGCAAACUUAAGAUGUUUGGGAUGAAGAGCCACGAUUGCCAUGUGUUUAUGCAACGUAUUUUGCCAAUUGCCUUUCGUGAAUUGCUUCCGUCACAUGUGUGGAAGGCAAUCACUGAACUAAGUUUGUUCUUCAAGGAUUUGAGUUCUAGGAACUUGAGAUGUGAAGACGUGUGCCGCCUUAGUGACAACAUUGCUAUCACUUUAUGCAAGCUUGAGCGUAUCUUUCCACCCAGCUUCUUUGAUUCUAUGGAGCAUCUUCCAGUUCAUUUAGCUUUUGAAGCUCAACUUGCAGGGCCAGUUCAAUAUCGAUGGAUGUAUCCAUUUGAAAGAUAUUUGCGCAAGUUGAAAAACAAUGUAAGAAACAAAGCUAGAGUGGAGGGAUCAAUUUGCAAUGCUUACAUAGUGGAAGAAGCUUCUACUUUUUGCUCAUAUUACUUUGAGGAGCAUGUGAGGACGAGGUAUAGGAAUGUGCCUCGUAAUUUGAAUACAAGAGAUGAUGUGAGAUUUGAUGGACAUCCAGAUCGAAUUUCAGUUUUCAAGCAACCUGGGCAAUACUUUGGAAAAAUGACGAUGAGAUACUUAGAUGAAAAAGAGUAUCACGCUGCUCAUACUUAUGUUCUACUAAAUUGCAAAGAAGUGACACAAACAUAUCUCAAGUAAGUUAAGUUAAUAAAAUUGUCUUUCAUUUCAUAAUCAUAAAAUAUUAUGUAACUUAUGGUGUGUUUAAUUUAGGUUAUUCGUGGCUGAAUUGCGUGCAUUACACGUCUCAGAAGCUGAUAUUAACCGUCAGAUGGAAAUCCAAUUUUUAGAUUGGUUCCGAUCAUAUGUAAUAUGAGACUUAAAUUAUUCAUCUAGUAUUUACACAAUCAUAAUAUAGAUUCUAAUUUAUCUCAUAAUAUAGGUGUCAAAUCCUGCAAAUCACGUGGUUAAUGAGUUUCUAAUUGCUCUCGCAAAUGGCCCCCUAGUCACGGUGAAGACUUACCCAGGAUUUUAUGUAAAUGGAUAUAAAUUUCACACGAUGAUGCAUGGGACUAAUCGGGCUAGUAUGAACAGUGGUGUGUGCAUAAAAGGUGAAUGUUAUGGUUCAGAUGAGAAUGGUGAACUCGACUAUUAUGGGCGUUUGCUGGAGGUAUGCGAGCUUGAGUAUAUGGGUCUACCACUGAAGACGACCACACUCUUUAAGUGUGAAUGGUUUGAUCCAUCACCACGUGGGACAUCAGUGCAUCCUCAAUUCAAAUUGGUUUCAAUAAAUCAUACACGUAGAUAUGGUGGUUAUGAACCAUUUGUGCUAGCUGACCAAGCUAUUCAAGUAUAUUAUUGUAAAUACCCAAGUUUGAGAAGUGAUAGGAAGGAUUGGUGGGAAGUUUGUAAGAUUAAAGCUAGGUCGAAAGUUGAAGUUCCAAAUGCAGUGGAAGAGACUGUAGUGAACCAACCUUUUCAAGAAGAUGACUUAAUGACUCCAACAAACCCUGACAUAGAUGAUGACACCACAAUAGUGCAUCCUCGUGGUGGUUUGAUAGAUAUUGAUGAUGCCGGUGAGGAAGACGAAGAAGACACAUAUUUGACUGAUGAAGAAGAUAGAAACUGGGAUGAUAGUUUUUAGUGUCAGGUUUUAUGUAGAAGUUUUGUUUUAAUCAAGUCUUAUAUGUGAUUUCAUUAUAUCUUUUUAAAUAUCUUUUUUUUUGUUUGUUAAUCCUUUCAUUAUUAAUUUUAUACAGAUGGCUAGAGGAAGCAGUGACACGCACAGUGGUAGACGAGGGCGCGGUGAUGGUAGAGGGCGAUCAUCAUCCUCAGGGGCAUUCGUGAUUCAGUUGCCCAGAUACAGUUGGCUGGAGGUAGUGGAUCCGCUCCGACAUCAUCAGAAGAUACCGUGCCCAGCAGCCACUCGAGCACGGGGCGGAUUAUGUUGACCAUUACACCU